RNAcentral lists this ribosomal RNA (460 nucleotides) under uncultured bacterium. RNAcentral describes it as "partial 16S ribosomal RNA". It matches the Rfam family "Bacterial small subunit ribosomal RNA", at positions 338 to 795 of the family's 1533-position model. The record is from RNAcentral.
CCUACGGGUGGCAGCAGUGAGGAAUAUUGGUCAAUGGGAGAGAUCCUGAACCAGCCAAGCCGCGUGAGGGAAGACGGCCCUAUGGGUUGUAAACUUCUUUUGUCGGAGAAUAACACGCCGGACGAGUCCCGGUCUGCGUGUACCCGAUGAAAAAGCAUCGGCUAACUCCGUGCCAGCAGCCGCGGUAAUACGGAGGAUCCGAGCGUUAUCCGGAUUUAUUGGGUUUAAAGGGUGCGUAGGCCGCCUGUCAAGUGAGCUGUAAAAUUUCCGGGCUCAACCCGGGCCGUGCGGCGGAAACUGGCGGGCUUGAGUUGGCGGAAAGCAGGCGGAAUGCGCGGUGUAGCGGUGAAAUGCGUAGAUAUCGCGAAGAACUCCGAUUGCGAAGGCAGCGUGCUGGCGCCGAACUGACGCUGAGGCACGAAAGCGUGGGGAUCGAACAGGAUUAGAUACCCGUGUAGUC